This is a non-coding RNA of Hordeum vulgare subsp. vulgare (domesticated barley), 136 nucleotides long. NCBI's taxonomy places the organism in Eukaryota, Viridiplantae, Streptophyta, Magnoliopsida, Poales, Poaceae. The record is from Rfam.
UAUGUAGUCCCUCCAUUUUAAAAUUCUUGUUUUAACUUUGUCUAAAAAUGAAUGUAUCAAAAUACUAAAACGUGACNNGAUACAUUCAUAUCUAGACAAAUCUAAGACAAAAUUUUUGAGACAGAGGGAGUAUGUA